Molecule: ribosomal RNA, 813 nt
Filed under: uncultured bacterium
Lineage: Bacteria
Description: bacterial SSU rRNA
Rfam family: Bacterial small subunit ribosomal RNA
Source: RNAcentral
AGAGUUUGAUCCUGGCUCAGGAUGAACGCUGGCGGCGUGCCUAACACAUGCAAGUCGAACGGAGCGCCCGGACGGAGUAUUUCGGUACAAAGACCGGGUGGCUGAGUGGCGGACGGGUGAGUAACGCGUGGACAACCUGCCGUGUACAGGGGGAUAACAGCCGGAAACGGCUGCUAAUACCGCAUAUGCGCACAGUGCCGCAUGGCACAGGGCGGAAAGCCUAGAUCUUAUCUAGUACGGUACACGAUGGGUCCGCGUCUGAUUAGGUAGUUGGCGGGGUAACGGCCCACCAAGCCCACGAUCAGUAGCCGGCCUGAGAGGGCGGACGGCCACACUGGGACUGAGACACGGCCCAGACUCCUGCGGGAGGCAGCAGUGGGGAAUAUUGCACAAUGGGGGGAACCCUGAUGCAGCGACGCCGCGUGAAGGAAGAAGUAUCUCGGUAUGUAAACUUCUAUCAGCAGGGAAGAAAGAGGACGGUACCUGACUAAGAAGCCCCGGCUAACUACGUGCCAGCAGCCGCGGUAAUACGUAGGGGGCGAGCGUUAUCCGGAUUUACUGGGUGUAAAGGGAGCGUAGACGGCCAUGCAAGCUCGGUGUGAAAGGUGCGGGCACAACCCGCAGACUGCACUGAGAACUGUAUGGCUGGAGUGCCGGAGGGGCAGGCGGAAUUCCUGGUGUAGCGGUGAAAUGCGUAGAUAUCAGGAGGAACACCGGUGGCGAAGGCGGCCUGCUGGACGGCGACUGACGUUGAGGCUCGAAAGCGUGGGGAGCGAACAGGAUUAGAUACCCUGGUAGUCCACGCCGUAAACG